This 253-nucleotide ribosomal RNA is filed under the name uncultured bacterium. RNAcentral's name for it is "partial 16S ribosomal RNA". It matches the Rfam family "Bacterial small subunit ribosomal RNA", at positions 524 to 776 of the family's 1533-position model. The record is from RNAcentral.
UACGUAGGGUCCAAGCGUUAUCCGGAUUCACUGGGUUUAAAGGGUGCGUAGGUGGGUUGGUAAGUCAGUGGUGAAAUCCCUGAGCUUAACUUGGGAACUGCCAUUGAUACUAUCAGUCUUGAAUACCGUGGAGGUCAGCGGAAUAUGUCAUGUAGCGGUGAAAUGCUUAGAUGUGACAUAGAACACCAAUUGCGAAGGCAGCUGGCUACUCGGAUAUUGACACUGAGGCACGAAAGCGUGGGGAUCAAACAGG